This 1376-nucleotide long non-coding RNA is filed under the name Struthio camelus australis. Its description in RNAcentral is "lncRNA (ENSSCUG00000004451.1)". The record is from RNAcentral. Lineage: Eukaryota; Metazoa; Chordata; Aves; Struthioniformes; Struthionidae.
GCCACCUCCAUGGCAACAGAUGCUGUCAAAAGCCUCAGGUUCGCUUGGAGGAUGAGGAGUGAAUUGCCAGGAACCAGCAAGCGAGGCUGAAGAACAGAAAUCUGAAGACGGCAGGCAGCUUCAAUACGUGGGAAAAACAGUGAAAAAGCCUAGCGCCACCAGGAUGGAGUAGGCCGUUAACGUAGAUUUGAAAGGGUAGUUCCCAGGUAAUGGAGAGAAGGGGCGAUGGAGAGAGAAGGCUCAUCUUACUCUGAGGCAUCGAGGGACCUGAACCACCUCUUGCGUGGACGAAUGCUCUCCCUGUAGGAGAAAAAGGCAAUUAACGUGUGUGGCGAAGAGCGAGAAGAAACAGCAACCGUGACAGGAAUCGUUAGCUCUGGCUUCUUUUGUGUGGGUACCGCAAGGUCAGAGCUUGAACAAGGGGAAAACCGGCAUAUGUCUUCGCUAACAAGCAUGACAACCAAGUAGCUGAGUCGAUUCAUGUUGCGAUCCAGAGAAACCCUAGUCUUUGACAGGAUCUGGGAAGUGAGGAUUCUGUUUUCCACGACUGCAAACUACCCUUCUUGUUCCCUACCUCUUCUCGAUGUGUGUGCUGCACUGACGUUGAUCUUGGACUGGCGUCCUCUUUGCAUACGUACGCGUUCUCUUCUGCGUCACAUCUCUCAAAAGGAGGCUCUGCACCAUCUCUGUUUCGAACGGAGGCUGUUAGGGAAAAGAGGAAGUCUUUUGGGUCAUCGAAACGAGAGUGGAGUGGGGAAAGCUGAUAUCCGUGUUCUGCUGAAAGACCCACCAACCCUGUCUUCCUCGUUAAAAAUCCAAAAGAAGCGCUUCAGAGAAGAGCUAGAGAACAGGAAAAGAAGUGUAGGUGCCGUGCGGUGGCGUAGCCACAGCCCCGGGCGCCCGUCUCGGCGAGGAAGCGGCUGGAGAUGGCUUGGUCCGGUCAGGAGCUCCAGCUCAAAGGGACCGACUGGCCGAAGCGGGGCGGGCUGCGGAGGUGCCGUCUCUGCCAAGGUUUCCGAUGUUCCUGCUAUACUCCGAUGAAACAUUAUACAGAAAGAUAUAGGCAAAGCAUUAUGCUCACAGCCUUUGCCAACAAGUUAUGUUUUAAUGUAAUUUAACUGUAAUCUCAGAGUGUUUUUGUUAGCUAUAAUUAGUAAAAUAUGUCUGUUUUCUGUGUUCCUUGAAGACGUCUGAACUCCUGCCAGUUCCCUAUAGUUUUCCUGACAUGCAGCGUAACAAGCAGACCACCAAAAUGUAUUUACCAAUAACUGUUUAUUUACAUUCCGUGAAAUCUAAUAACAUUUGCUGCCUUCAUUCGGGAUAAAUGCUGGCCAAUGUGUAAAGCAUAAAAAAAAUAAACAUUGACUUAAUUUCUA